AUUGAACGCUGGCGGCAGGCCUAACACAUGCAAGUCGAACGGUAACAGGAAGAAGCUUGCUUCUUUGCUGACGCGUGGCGGACGGGUGAGUAAUGUCCGGGAAACUGUCUGAUGGAGGGGGAUAACUACUGGAAACGGUAGCUAAUAUCGCAUAACGUCCCAAGGCCUAAAAGGGGGACCUUUUGGCACCUUGCCAUCGGAUGUGCCCAGAUGGGAUUAGCUAGUAGGUGGGGUAACGGGUCACCCAGGCGACGAUCCCUAGCUGGUCUGAGAGGAUGACCAGCCACACUGGAACUGAGACACGGUCCAGACUCCUACGGGAGGCAGCAGUGGGGAAUAUUGGACAAUGGGCGCAAGCCUGAUGCAGCCAUGCCGCGUGUAUGAAGAAGGCCUUCGGGUUGUAAAGUACUUUCAGCGGGAAGGAAAGGAGUAAAGUUAAUACCCUUCCUUAUUGACGUUACCCGAAGAAGAAGCACCGGCUAACUCCGUG
This 490-nucleotide ribosomal RNA is filed under the name uncultured bacterium. RNAcentral describes it as "partial 16S ribosomal RNA". It matches the Rfam family "Bacterial small subunit ribosomal RNA", at positions 30 to 507 of the family's 1533-position model. The record is from RNAcentral.